RNAcentral lists this long non-coding RNA (2042 nucleotides) under Callithrix jacchus (white-tufted-ear marmoset). Its description in RNAcentral is "lncRNA (ENSCJAG00000083428.1)". Lineage: Eukaryota; Metazoa; Chordata; Mammalia; Primates; Cebidae. The record is from RNAcentral.
AAUGCAGAGAAGAGAAGGUGUCAUCACCUUAAAUGGGUUCUGCGUUCUUCAGGGUCAGAACCCUGAAGAACUGACCUCCUUUUUGAACUGACCCCAACCUUGCUGAGUUUACCAACUUUCCUGGCCAUGAGGGUCAGAAAUCCACAAUGAUUUCAUAAGUAAUUUCUCAUGAAACCACAUACCACAGCAUGAGUCACAAAUGUAGCUGUGUACCUGUAGGAGUAUAUGUCAUUCUUGUUAAAUCUGCCAGGAAUAGGAUGAUCAACUUGUCCCAGUUUGCCUGGGAUUUUCCCUAUUUGUACCAAAAGUCUUAUGUCCUGGGAAAUCCUUCAGUUCCAGGUAUAUCUGAGUGAUUGACCACCCUACCCAGGAAAUAAGGAAGGAGCAAGGGGUCCUUAAAGUGUUAUCCCUACCAGAAUCUGCCUCUUUCUCUCUCUGCAAAAGUAGAGAAGCUGCAACCUGUGGGACCUGGUGCUUCCAUCCAGCUGCAUGGGGAAGACAUUUAUGUCAACUUGAGCAGAAGAGCAUAUACCACAUAAUACAGAUCUUUGGAUGGGAGUUACUGCCAGAGCACAGCCAUCGUUUUGGCAACAUUCCCAAAGGAAUAAAAGAAGUAAUGUCUUUCACUGAAAGUAGGUCAAGGAGCCAAGUGAGUGGUGCCUUGCGGGAGAGGGAAAAUGAAGAAGUGCGCAAGGUCCACACUGGUGAUGAUUCCACACUCAGAGCUCUGAGCUGUCAGAACCCAAAGAAUCAUCUAGAAACCAAGAGACAAUGGGAAAUAAGGCAACAGCAAGGUGGAAGAGGUGAACAUGAACCUGGUGAAAACCUGCAGGAAGAUCAGGGUAAGGGUAUUGCCCUUCCCAAAGGUGGGGGUGGUGCCCAGGCCAUCCUCUCAGGACAUCACAUAAACAUGGACACUAGAGGCUCCUAGACACUCACAGCGCAUAUCUAUCCAGACUACUUGGACUACAUAGUUGAGAAAGUAAAUGGACUUUGAUGUGAGGAAUGCAAGUCCUUUUAAAUUAUCAGGCCCAGGGAGACAUUAAAAUGAGACAGCAAUCACGUCCUACUCCCUUUUUAAAACUGCUUUCUAUUGCCACGAGUAGCUGUAAAGUAACCUAAUAAUGCCACAUUGAACACUAUAACCACACCCUAUAGCCUAAUGAUGUAUAACUAAUCACCGAUCAAUGUUAUUUCUGUAAGCCAGUUCCUGACAACUUUGUAUCAGCCCUACUCCCUGUCCCCCCAACUUUUUUUUUUUGUCUUUAAAAACCUGGUUAUGUGAUGGCACAGUGGCUCACACUUGUAAUCACAGCACUUUGGGAGGCCAAGGCUGGAGGAUUGCUGGAGCCUAGGAGUUCGAGACCAGCCUGAGUAACAUGGCAAAAACUUGUUUACAAAAAAUACAAAAAUUAUCCAGGCCUGGUGGUGUGUGCCUGUAGUCCUGGCUACUCUGGAGGCAGAGGUGGGAGAAUCACCUGAGCCUGGGGAGGUCAAGGCUCCAGUGAGUCAUGAUCCACUACACUCUAGCCUGGAUGACAGUGAGACCCUAUCUCAAAAAACAAAGAAACAAAUAAACAAACAAACCUGCUUGGAACAAAGAUGAAUGGAAUUCAUACCCAAGGCUACUUGGGUCUGAGUCUUCCCAGCAGCUGUCAACCCUUUGGCUAAAGUAAACUCCUCCAGUUACAUUUUAUGCCUCAGCCUCUUCCUUUUAGCUUGACAGUCAUUGAGCUUUAGCAAGUUCCUCUUUUUUGCUAGCCCAUGCUGGACACAUUUUAAAUGAGAGUCAUAACUAACAUUUUUGCAUUAUUCAAAAUAGCUUCAAGAAACCAGAAACCUGUCACACAUACUUGUUUUCUUCUUUAGAACAAUGCAUGUGUUUAGGGAAAAUGAAAACAGUCUAUAGCUGAACUCAUGUUAGUGCUUUCCAGAAUCAAAUGGUCACAGACACUCAAAGCUCUUCUCCAGGAAUAAGGGGUUAACCUUGCCUUCCAGUGCUUCACUGUCUGCUCUCAAUGUUUGCUACUCCACCCCAUUGU